ACGCUGGCGGCGUGCCUAACACAUGCAAGUCAACUUGACUGAAGGAGCAAUCUGACAGUAGAGUGGCGCAAGGGUGCGUAACGCGUAAGUAACUUGCCCCAAGGUAAAGAAUAACGUCGAGAAAUCGGCGCUAAUACCUCAUAAUGCAGCGGAUCCGCAUGGAUAUGUUGUUAAAGGUUUACCGCCUUGGGAUAGGCUUGCGUCUGAUUAGCUAGUUGGUGUGGUAACGGCACACCAAGGCUACGAUCAGUAACUGGUCUGAGAGGAUGAUCAGUCACACUGGAACUGAGACACGGUCCAGACUCCUACGGGAGGCAGCAGUGAGGAAUAUUGGGCAAUGCUCGAAAGAGUGACCCAGCAACGCCGCGUGGAGGAUGAAGGUAUUCUAUAUCGUAAACUCCUGUGAGAGCAGACGAAAGACAGAUUAUUAAUCUGGAUGACUGUAUGCUCAGAGGAAGCCCCGGCUAACUACGUG
Molecule: ribosomal RNA, 475 nt
Filed under: uncultured bacterium
Lineage: Bacteria
Description: bacterial SSU rRNA
Rfam family: Bacterial small subunit ribosomal RNA
Source: RNAcentral